AUUCUAUGAUGUCAUGGUUCCUUCUCUAUGCGUGUUCUCUUGAGAACCAAGCAGGAUCAAUAGUUUUCAGAAGAACAGAAGUACAGAAAAAAAUGUGUUGUACUGCCCUAGCUCUACCCCUCCCAGGUUAUGACUCCUUCUGUUACUUUUGACUGGGUCCUACCUUCCGUUUUUGGUCCAGUAACAGGGCUGCCAUUUGGGAAUGGAUUCUCAGGCUCUAGUUGCUCCCCAGAAAAGCCUCAGCAAGUCAUUUUACCCUUUGCCUCUCACUCUACAUGGGUCUUUUCGAGAAUAUCUUAAUGAAAUAUUUCCUCAUCUCUGCGGACAAAGAGAUUUUUAUUGUGGGGGUGUCCCAUUAUUUUCCAUCUCAGGGACUCCUUCUUCAUUGUUUCCUUUUCUCUUCUGCUUCUCUUUCAUGGCUGCGCGUUUCUUCUUCCAGUGUUGCGGGCUAGGUCAGCAGCUGCAGGAGAACUUGAUUAGUGCCUUGCCUCAGUGCAGAUGCAUUUCCCUGACAGCAUCGAUCCUGGGUGCUUUCGCUUUGCAGGCAGCUCCACAGAGGAGGAGCUUGUACUGCAAAGGAGGUGGACUGUUGUCUGUUCAAGAUAUGAGUGGGAUCACUAAAACAUGGAAGCAACAAAAGUACCUACACUUCUAUCUCUACCUGACAAGAAAAUAUUGCAAGGUAAUAGAAUUGUGUGGGCUUGUGUGUUACCCUCCAGAAGGAUAUUUUUCUGAAUGUAUGUUGUAUAUACUCAUAAACAAAAGAAUAAAAUGCAUGUAG
This 781-nucleotide long non-coding RNA is filed under the name Sus scrofa (pig). RNAcentral describes it as "lncRNA (ENSSSCG00070007160.1)". The record is from RNAcentral. Lineage: Eukaryota; Metazoa; Chordata; Mammalia; Artiodactyla; Suidae.